GAUGAACGCUGGCGGCGUGCUUAACACAUGCAAGUCGAACGGUGAAGCAGAGCUUGCUCUGUGGCUCAGUGGCGAACGGGUGAGUAACACGUGAGCAACCUGCCCCUGACUCUGGGAUAAGCGCUGGAAACGGCGUCUAAUACUGGAUAUGAGCUGCGACCGCAUGGUCAGCAGUUGGAAAGAUUUUUCGGUCUGGGAUGGGCUCACGGCCUAUCAGCUUGUUGGUGAGGUAAUGGCGCACAAAGGCGUCCACGGGUAGCCGGCCUGGGAGGGUGACCGGGCACACUGUGCCUGAGACACGGCCCGUACGGAUACGGGGGGAAGGAGUGGAAAAUAUUCCACACAGGGCGACAGCAUGGUAGAGGGACUCCGCGUGAGGGAUGACUGCCUUCGGGGUGUAACCCUCUUUUAGCAGGGAAGAAGCGAAAGUGACGGUACCUGCAGAGAAAGCGACGGCUAACUACGUG
RNAcentral lists this ribosomal RNA (467 nucleotides) under uncultured bacterium. RNAcentral's name for it is "partial 16S ribosomal RNA". It matches the Rfam family "Bacterial small subunit ribosomal RNA", at positions 28 to 507 of the family's 1533-position model. The record is from RNAcentral.